CAGCAGCCGCGGGAAUACGUAGGUGGCAAGCGUUGUCCGGAAUUAUUGGGCGUAAAGCGCGCGCAGGUGGUUUAAUAAGUCUGAUGUGAAAGCCCACGGCUCAACCGUGGAGGGUCAUUGGAAACUGUUAAACUUGAGUGCAGGAGAGAAAAGUGGAAUUCCUAGUGUAGCGGUGAAAUGCGUAGAGAUUAGGAGGAACACCAGUGGCGAAGGCGGCUUUUUGGCCUGUGACUGACACUGAGGCGCGAAAGCGUGGGGAGCAAACAGGAUUAGAUACCCCCGUAGUCCCUGUCUCUUAUAC
This 301-nucleotide ribosomal RNA is filed under the name uncultured bacterium. RNAcentral describes it as "partial 16S ribosomal RNA". It matches the Rfam family "Bacterial small subunit ribosomal RNA", at positions 509 to 807 of the family's 1533-position model. The record is from RNAcentral.